CUUUCUUUUUUUCUUCUGAUCGAUUUGCUGGAUUGUUUUCCCUAAUUCAAUUUCUAUCCUAAGAUUCUCUAUCCUAGGGUUUACCAUCUCUCAGUAAUGGGGGAGAAGGAUGCGAUUUUGAAAAUAUGGUUUAUGAUGGGUAUUUCUGCAUAUUGUACUGUCAUGGCAAAGAAAAGAAAAAUGCAAUUGAGAUGUUGAGACAUGGAAUGGUGGAUGAGGCGUAGGCAAUUACCAUCCACUCUGAGACGUAGAGUUAGUCACUUUGAACGUUAUAGAGUUGGUUGACUACAAGAGGAGUUGAUGAGAUGGAGUUAAUAAAAGGCUUGCCUGAGGGGCU
Long non-coding RNA from Spinacia oleracea (spinach), 337 nucleotides. RefSeq lists it as uncharacterized. The record is from RefSeq and is a predicted model, not a curated record. The transcript is spliced from 3 exons. NCBI's taxonomy places the organism in Eukaryota, Viridiplantae, Streptophyta, Magnoliopsida, Caryophyllales, Amaranthaceae.